This 447-nucleotide ribosomal RNA is filed under the name uncultured marine bacterium. RNAcentral's name for it is "bacterial SSU rRNA". It matches the Rfam family "Bacterial small subunit ribosomal RNA", at positions 360 to 804 of the family's 1533-position model. The record is from RNAcentral.
AAUAUUGGACAAUGGAGGCAACUCUGAUCCAGCCAUGCCGCGUGCAGGAAGACUGCCCUAUGGGUUGUAAACUGCUUUUAUACAGGAAGAAACAGUUCUACGUGUAGAGCUCUGACGGUACUGUAAGAAUAAGGAUCGGCUAACUCCGUGCCAGCAGCCGCGGUAAUACGGAGGAUCCAAGCGUUAUCCGGAAUUAUUGGGUUUAAAGGGUCCGUAGGCGGGCAGUUAAGUCAGGGGUGGAAGUUUGCGGCUCAACCGUAAAAUUGCCUCUGAUACUGAUUGUCUUGAAUUAUUAUGAAGUAGUUAGAAUGAGUAGUGUAGCGGUGAAAUGCAUAGAUAUUACUCAGAAUACCGAUUGCGAAAGCGGAUCACUGGAUCUUUUCUGACGCUGAGGCACGAAAGCCAGGGUAGCGAACGGGAUUAGAUACCCCGGUAGUCCUGGCCGUA